Molecule: ribosomal RNA, 329 nt
Filed under: uncultured eukaryote
Lineage: Eukaryota
Description: partial 18S ribosomal RNA
Rfam family: Eukaryotic small subunit ribosomal RNA
Source: RNAcentral
CCCUUAGAUGUCCUGGGCUGCACGCGCGCUACACUGACGAUGGCAACGAGUUUUUCCUUCGCCGAAAGGUGUGGGUAAUCUUUUGAAACAUCGUCGUGCUGGGGAUAGAUCAUUGCAAUUUUUGAUCUUGAACGAGGAAUUCCUAGUAAGCGCGAGUCAUCAGCUCGCGUUGAUUACGUCCCUGCCCUUUGUACACACCGCCCGUCGCUACUACCGAUUGAAUGGUUUAGUGAGGACUCCUGAUUGGCGCCGCCGCCCCGGCAACGGAGCAGCGGACUGCCGAAAAGUUGUUCAAACUUGAUCAUUUAGAGGAAGUAAAAGUCGUAACA